UAGGAAUUUUGCGCAAUGGGGGAAACCCUGACGCAGCAACGCCGCGUGAAGGAUGAAGGCCCUCGGGUUGUAAACUUCUUUUAGCAGGAAAGAAAAAAAUGACGGUACCUGCAGAAAAAGCACCGGCUAACUCUGUGCCAGCAGCCGCGGUAAUACAGAGGGUGCAAGCGUUAUUCGGAAUUACUGGGCGUAAAGAGCGCGUAGGCGGUUCGUUAAGUUCGUUGUGAAAGCCCUGGACUCAAUCCGGGAAGUGCAGCGAAUACUGUCGAACUAGAGUAUGGGAGAGGAGAAUGGAAUUCCUGGUGUAGAGGUGAAAUUCGUAGAUAUCAGGAGGAACAACAGUGGCGAAGGCGAUUCUCUGGACCAUUACUGACGCUGAGGCGCGAAAGCGUGGGGAGCAAAC
RNAcentral lists this ribosomal RNA (403 nucleotides) under uncultured bacterium. RNAcentral's name for it is "bacterial SSU rRNA". It matches the Rfam family "Bacterial small subunit ribosomal RNA", at positions 356 to 773 of the family's 1533-position model. The record is from RNAcentral.